Non-coding RNA from Pelobates cultripes (western spadefoot toad), 135 nucleotides. NCBI's taxonomy places the organism in Eukaryota, Metazoa, Chordata, Amphibia, Anura, Pelobatidae. The record is from the annotation of a GenBank genome assembly.
UAAGGACAGAGGGGUGAUUAGUGACAGAGAGAGGGAUGGGGUGACUAGUGACAGUCACCCCCUCCCUCACUCUGUCACUAGUCACUCCCUCUCUCACUCUGUCACUAGUCACCCCCUCUCUCACUCUGUCACUCC